AUGGUAGAGCCGGCCGACGUGCUGGGCCUCACGCGGGGCUACAAGCUGCAGCCUCUCGACGACGAGGCGGUGGAAUACUACCUGCUCCGUCGACUCCUUGGCGAGGAGCUCCCGCUGGAGGGCAUCAUCCUCGAGGACGAUCCUCUGAGCGCGCCGCCAUGGGAGCUCUUGAACAGACACGGGCGGGAGGACGAUGCUUUCUUCUUUGCCCACGGGCAAACCAUCGACACCAAGGGGAGUCGGAACAAGCGGACCUGCGCGGGCGGCGGGUGCUGGGAAGGGCAGAAGGUCGUCGUGGAUGACAAGCAGCUCAUCGUCCCCGACAGCGGCAUGGAGAUCACCUGGAAGAAGUACCACCUCAACUUCCACAAGGACGGCGAGAGAGGCAGCACGGGGUGGGUCAUGCACGAGUACUCGGUCACAUCCCCGCCCUAUCUGGCCUCGUCGUCGGUCAGGCUGUAUCGCAUUCUGUUCAGUGGCCAUGGCAAGAAGCGCAAGAGGGUGCCCGAUGAUCACGGCCGCGACGACGAUGGUGGAGCGCGCGCGGCCACCUGGCAAGCCAUAGCAGAUCUUGAUCUUCUCGAGAAGCAGGUUUCAGCGUCGUACUCUGUUUUCCCUCAAGAUGAGGAUGGCUACUGUUAUGCGGCGAACGCCACAGAGGAUCAUCACCUGCUGGGUUCUUCCCAAGACAACGGCCGCUCGUGGUUCUUGCCCGGCGGAGACCGCGGAGUAGGGCCGGUCAGGGCGACAUCAGAUUCAGAUCAAGACGCCCCAGCGGGCGUGAUGCAUGAGUUCGCCGGUGGAGAUGGUGGUGUUGCGUUGCGCCGGUGGCAGCAACGCUACCAUCCUCCGGCGCGAUGGACGAGUCCUUAG
Molecule: ribosomal RNA, 873 nt
Filed under: Triticum aestivum (bread wheat)
Lineage: Eukaryota; Viridiplantae; Streptophyta; Magnoliopsida; Poales; Poaceae
Description: partial small subunit ribosomal RNA
Source: RNAcentral